AAUCAACGCUGGCGGCGUGCCUAACACAUGCAAGUCGAACGCGAGAGGGGCUUCGGCCCCGAUUGAGUGGCGAACGGGUGAGUAACACGUGGGUGACCUACCUUCGAGUGGGGAGUAACGUCCCGAAGGGACGCUAAUACCGCAUAACAUUCCGCUUUUGUAACAAAGUGGAAAUACAAGGCCGGGGAUCGUAAGACCUGGCGCUUGAAGAGGGGCCCG
This 219-nucleotide ribosomal RNA is filed under the name uncultured bacterium. Its description in RNAcentral is "partial 16S ribosomal RNA". It matches the Rfam family "Bacterial small subunit ribosomal RNA", at positions 32 to 233 of the family's 1533-position model. The record is from RNAcentral.